Molecule: ribosomal RNA, 247 nt
Filed under: uncultured bacterium
Lineage: Bacteria
Description: partial 16S ribosomal RNA
Rfam family: Bacterial small subunit ribosomal RNA
Source: RNAcentral
AUACGGAGGGUGCGAGCGUUGUUCGGAAUUAUUGGGCGUAAAGCGCGUGUAGGCGGUUUGUUAAGUCUGAUGUGAAAGCCCCGGGCUCAACCUGGGAAGUGCAUUGGAUACUGGCAGACUUGAAUACGGGAGAGGGCAGUGGAAUUCCUGGUGUAGGAGUGAAAUCCGUAGAUAUCAGGAGGAACACCGGUGGCGAAGGCGUCUUUCUGGUCUGCAUCUGACACUGAGGAGCGAAAGCCAGGGGAGC